Molecule: microRNA, 22 nt
Filed under: Eptatretus burgeri (inshore hagfish)
Lineage: Eukaryota; Metazoa; Chordata; Myxini; Myxiniformes; Myxinidae
Description: Ebu-Novel-1_3p (mature (guide))
Source: RNAcentral
UGAUGGAAAGCUCCGAGUCUCC